UAGGACCUAAUUUCAAAGAGUAGUGAAGUGCAGGAAGGAGAGGAAAAUUCAUAGUUUAAAUAGUUUUAAAAAAUUGUAGAGUUGCACACAAGGGUAAUCGGCAAAGGGACAAAUAGAUCGCAUAAAUAUCAUCAAGGGACACAAAGAUUUAUGCAAGCUCACUAAGCAUGAGUACACAAAAUCAAAAGAGUUUUAAGAGACCCUGAAAUAGUUGGAUUUAGACACAAAAGUAUAUAGUAAAAGAAUAUAGUCAUAACAUGCAAGGUAAUGAGCAAACACUGGUCAUGAGCAUGCAAGUGUUAACAUGCAACCAAGGAGUUAAUUACAUGUUGCACGACAGAAGCAUAAGUAGAAAACAAUUAGGAAUAUAACAUACUCAAAGAGUAAUAACCACAUUGGUUUUGGAACUUUGAAAUUAAUCAGAACAUACCAGUAAUAAGAGAACACAAUAGAAUGCAAGAUCCAAGUAUAAGCACAAUAUUAGCCUUAGCUUUUUAGCUGGCUAAUAACAGUC
This 514-nucleotide long non-coding RNA is filed under the name Nicotiana benthamiana. RNAcentral's name for it is "long non-coding RNA (NBEN_LNC005196)". The record is from RNAcentral. Lineage: Eukaryota; Viridiplantae; Streptophyta; Magnoliopsida; Solanales; Solanaceae.